This 347-nucleotide unclassified non-coding RNA is filed under the name soil metagenome. Its description in RNAcentral is "partial contains 5.8S ribosomal RNA, internal transcribed spacer 2, and large subunit ribosomal RNA". The stretch from base 1 to 120 matches the Rfam family "5.8S ribosomal RNA", at positions 35 to 154 of the family's 154-position model. The record is from RNAcentral.
GAUGAAGAACGUAGCAAAAUGCGAUAAGUAAUGUGAAUUGCAGAAUUCAGUGAAUCAUCGAAUCUUUGAACGCACAUUGCGCCCGCUGGUAGUCCGGCGGGCAUGCCUGUUCGAGCGUCAUUUCAACCCUCAAGCCCCCGGGUUUGGUGUUGGGGAUCGGCUCUGCCCUUCUGGGCGGUGCCGCCCCCGAAAUACAUUGGCGGUCUCGCUGCAGCCUCCAUUGCGUAGUAGCUAACACCUCGCAACUGGAACGCGGCGCGGCCAUGCCGUAAAACCCCAACUUCUGAAUGUUGACCUCGGAUCAGGUAGGAAUACCCGCUGAACUUAAGCAUAUCAAUAAGCGAGGA